AGGGGCAGCACAAGGAGCAAUCUGAGGUGGCGACCGGCGCACGGGUGAGUAACACGUAUGCAACCUGCCUGUAAGCGGGGAAUAACCCGUUGAAAGACGGACUAAUACCGCAUAAUACUAAAUUACUGCAUGGUAAUUUAUUUAAACAUUUAUGGCUUACAGAUGGGCAUGCGCAUGAUUAGCUAGUUGGAGAGGUAACGGCUCCCCAAGGCAACGAUCAUUAGGGGUUCUGAGAGGAAGGUCCCCCACACUGGUACUGAGACACGGACCAGACUCCUACGGGAGGCAGCAGUGAGGAAUAUUGGUCAAUGGACGAGAGUCUGAACCAGCCAAGUCGCGUGCAGGAAGAAUGUCCCUAUGGAUUGUAAACUGCUUUUGCAGGGGAAUAAAGUGCAUCACGUGUGAUGUUUUGUAUGUACUCUGCGAAUAAGGAUCGGCUAACUCCGUGCCAGCCGCGGC
Molecule: ribosomal RNA, 459 nt
Filed under: uncultured bacterium
Lineage: Bacteria
Description: bacterial SSU rRNA
Rfam family: Bacterial small subunit ribosomal RNA
Source: RNAcentral